UAGCGAAAUUCCUUGUCAGGUAAGUUCUGACCCGCAUGAAAGGCGUAAUGAUUUGGGCACUGUCUCAACAGCCCGCCCGGCGAAAUUGUAGUACCGGUGAAGAUGCCGGUUACCCGCGACAAGACGGAAAGACCCCAUGGAGCUUUACUGUAGCCUAAUAUUGGGUUUCGAUGUUGCAUGCACAGGAUAGAUGGGACUCUGGGAAACCAAGGCUUUGGCUUUGGCGGAGAGGCCGUUGGGAUACCAUCCUUGCGAUAUUGGAAUUCUAACCUGCGGCUCUGAAUCGAGUCGGGGGACAUUGUUAGGUGGGCAGUUUGACUGGGGCGGUCGCCUCCUAAAGAGUAACGGAGGCGUUCAAAGGUUCGCUCAGCUUGAACGGAAAUCAAGCAAAAGAGUGCAAACGCAGAAGCGAGCCUAACUGCGAGACUGACGGGUCGAGCAGUAACGAAAGUUGGAGUUAGUGAUCCGGCGGUAUGUGAAUGGAAAUGCCGUCGCUCAACGGAUAAAAGCUACCCUGGGGAUAACAGGCUGAUCUCCCCCAAGAGUCCACAUCGACGGGGAGGUUUGGCACCUCGAUGUCGGCUCAUCGCAUCCUGGGGCUGUAGUCGGUCCCAAGGGUUGGGCUGUUCGCCCAUUAAAGCGGUACGCGAGCUGGGUUCAGAACGUCGUGAGACAGUUCGGUCCCUAUCCGUCGCGGGCGCAGGAAAUUUGAGAGGAGCUGUCCUUAGUACGAGAGGACCGGGAUGGACGCACCGCUGGUGUACCAGUUGUUCUGCCAAGGGCAUCGCUGGGUAGCUAUGUGCGGACGGGAUAAGUGCUGAAAGCAUCUAAGCAUGAAGCCCCCCUCAAGAUGAGAUUUCCCAUUCCGCAAGGAAGUAAGAUCCCUGAAAGAUGAUCAGGUUGAUAGGUCUGAGGUGGAAGUGUGGCGACACAUGGAGCUGACAGAUACUAAUCGAUCGAGG
RNAcentral lists this ribosomal RNA (962 nucleotides) under human gut metagenome. RNAcentral describes it as "bacterial LSU rRNA". It matches the Rfam family "Bacterial large subunit ribosomal RNA", at positions 1957 to 2912 of the family's 2925-position model. The record is from RNAcentral.